RNAcentral lists this long non-coding RNA (441 nucleotides) under Pandoravirus dulcis. Its description in RNAcentral is "putative ncRNA". The record is from RNAcentral.
CGCGCGCAUAGGCCAGGAAGCGCGCAAAGCACGGCGGGAGGCCGGCGCAGAUGACGUCGACGCCCGUCUUGGCCUUGCAGUCGCGGAUGCGCGCGCAGCGCUUGGCCUUGUUGUGGCCCGGCACGCUGUCCCACGGCAGCGAGCCCUUGGCCAACUGGACCAGCGUGUAGGCCAGGGCCUCGAGGUCGUCCCUCCGGCUCUGCACUGUUGGUCGACGGAGCGAGACGGGAGGAAGGCGUGAUUGUCGUUUUUUUCCGUAUUGCAUUGUUAUUGUUGUCGUCAGCGUCGUCCGAAAUUCACGCCGUGCCAUCCGACAUUGCCGUUGUCGGAAAACAAAAAAAAAAGAGACCACACAUAUACGCGCACACAUACAAUGACAAUAGGAAAAGCGCCAACAAAAAAAUGUCAGAGGUGGCCAGCCGAUGGGGACGGAAAAACUGC